UCUGGAGCUGAUCCUGAAGCCCUUACUCACAUGAGCAGUCCCACAUAAGUCCUCAAGGUGAGUAAGGGCUGCGAGAUUGGACCCUAAAUACC
Molecule: microRNA precursor, 92 nt
Organism: Chrysemys picta bellii (western painted turtle)
Lineage: Eukaryota; Metazoa; Chordata; Testudines; Emydidae
Source: Ensembl